Molecule: ribosomal RNA, 406 nt
Filed under: uncultured bacterium
Lineage: Bacteria
Description: bacterial SSU rRNA
Rfam family: Bacterial small subunit ribosomal RNA
Source: RNAcentral
UGAAGAAUAUUGGGCAAUGGGCGAAAGCCUGACCCAGCAACGCCGCGUGAAGGAAGAAGGUUUUCGGAUUGUAAACUUCUGUCCCAUGGGAAGAAAAAAAUGACGGUACCAUGGGAGGAAGCCCCGGCUAACUACGUGCCAGCAGCCGCGGUAAUACGUAGGGGGCAAGCGUUGUCCGGAAUUAUUGGGCGUAAAGGGUGCGUAGGCGGCCCUGCAAGUUGGAUGUGAAAUCUCCGUGCUUAACAUGGAAAUUGCAUUCAAAACUGUGGGGCUUGAGUGUGGAAGAGGUAAGUGGAAUUCCCAGUGUAGCGGUGAAAUGCGUAGAUAUUGGGAGGAACACCAGUGGCGAAGGCGACUUACUGGGCCACAACUGACGCUGAUGCACGAAAGCGUGGGGAGCAAACAG